CGGGUGAGUAACACGUAUCCAACCUGCCGUCUACUCUUGGACAGCCUUCUGAAAGGAAGAUUAAUACAAGAUGGCAUCAUGAGUCCGCAUGUUCACAUGAUUAAAGGUAUUCCGGUAGACGAUGGGGAUGCGUUCCAUUAGAUAGUAGGCGGGGUAACGGCCCACCUAGUCUUCGAUGGAUAGGGGUUCUGAGAGGAAGGUCCCCCACAUUGGAACUGAGACACAGUCCAA
Molecule: ribosomal RNA, 231 nt
Filed under: uncultured bacterium
Lineage: Bacteria
Description: partial 16S ribosomal RNA
Rfam family: Bacterial small subunit ribosomal RNA
Source: RNAcentral